ACUAGACUCCUACGGGAGGCAGCAGUGGGGAAUAUUGCACAAUGGGGGGAAACCCUGAUGCAGCAACGCCGCGUGAGUGAAGAAGUAUUUCGGUAUGUAAAGCUCUAUCAGCAGGGAAGAAAAUGACGGUACCUGAGUAAGAAGCCCCGGCUAACUACGUGCCAGCAGCCGCGGUAAUACGUAGGGGGCAAGCGUUAUCCGGAUUUACUGGGUGUAAAGGGAGCGUAGACGGCGAUACAAGUCUGAAGUGAAAGCCCGGGGCUUAACCCCGGAACUGCUUUGGAAACUGUGCAGCUAGAGUGCAGGAGAGGUAAGUGGAAUUCCUAGUGUAGCGGUGAAAUGCGGAGAUAUUAGGAGGAACACCAGUGGCGAAGGCGGCUUACUGGACUGUAACUGACGUUGAGGCUCGAAAGCGGGGGGAGCAGACAGGAUUAGAUACCCGUGUA
Molecule: ribosomal RNA, 446 nt
Filed under: uncultured bacterium
Lineage: Bacteria
Description: bacterial SSU rRNA
Rfam family: Bacterial small subunit ribosomal RNA
Source: RNAcentral